GAUGAACGCUGGCGGCGUGCUUAACACAUGCAAGUCGAACGAUGAAGCCCAGCUUGCUGGGUGGAUUAGUGGCGAAAGGGUGAGUAACACGUGAGUAACCUGCCCUUAACUCUGGGAUAAGCCUGGGAAACUGGGUCUAAUACCGGAUAGGAGCGUCCACCGCAUGGUGGGUGUUGGAAAGAUUUAUCGGUUUUGGAUGGACUCGCGGCCUAUCAGCUUGUUGGUGAGGUAAUGGCUCACCAAGGCGUCGACGGGUAGCCGGCCUGAGAGGGUGACCGGCCACACUGGGACUGAGACACGGCCCAGACUCCUACGGGAGGCAGCAGUGGGGAAUAUUGCACAAUGGGCGCAAGCCUGAUGCAGCGACGCCGCGUGAGGGAUGACGGCCUUCGGGUUGUAAACCUCUUUCAGUAGGGAAGAAGCGAAAGUGACGGUACCUGCAGAAGAAGCACCGGCUAACUACGUG
This 466-nucleotide ribosomal RNA is filed under the name uncultured bacterium. Its description in RNAcentral is "partial 16S ribosomal RNA". It matches the Rfam family "Bacterial small subunit ribosomal RNA", at positions 28 to 507 of the family's 1533-position model. The record is from RNAcentral.